AGCAGCCGCGGUAAUUCCAGCUCCAAUAGCGUAUAUUAAAGUUGUUGCAGUUAAAAAGCUCGUAGUUGAAUUUCGGGGUUAGUAGGUUGGUCAUGCCUCUGGUAUGUACUGGUCUCACUGAUUCCUCCUUCCUGAUGAGCCGUAAUGCCAUUAAUUUGGUGUUGCGGGGAAUUUGGACUGUUACUUUGAAAAAAUUAGAGUGUUUAAAGCAGGCUUACGCUUGAAUACAUUAGCAUGGAAUAAUGAAAUAGGACGUUUGAACCUAUUUUGUUGGUUUCUAGGAUCGACGUAAUGAUUAAUAGGGAUAGUUGGGGGCAUUAGUAUUCAAUUGUCAGAGGUGAAAUUCUUGGAUUUAUUGAAGACUAACUACUGCGAAAGCAUUUGCCAAGGAUGUUUUCAUUAAUCAAGAACGAAAGUUAGGGGAUCGAAGACGAUCAGAUACCGUCGUAGUCUUAACCAUAAACUAUGCCGACUAGGGAUCGGAUGAUGUAAUUUUUAAUGACUCAUUCGGCGCCUAAC
RNAcentral lists this ribosomal RNA (519 nucleotides) under uncultured Glomus. Its description in RNAcentral is "SSU rRNA". It matches the Rfam family "Eukaryotic small subunit ribosomal RNA", at positions 569 to 1091 of the family's 1831-position model. The record is from RNAcentral. Lineage: Eukaryota; Fungi; Glomeromycota; Glomeromycetes; Glomerales; Glomeraceae.